CCAGAUAGCUCAGUCGGUAGAGCAGAGGACUGAAAAUCCUCGUGUCGGUGGUUCGAUUCCACCUCUGGCC
Molecule: transfer RNA, 70 nt
Filed under: marine eukaryotic metagenome
Rfam family: tRNA
About the family: Transfer RNA (tRNA) molecules are approximately 80 nucleotides in length. Their secondary structure includes four short double-helical elements and three loops (D, anti-codon, and T loops). Further hydrogen bonds mediate the characteristic L-shaped molecular structure. tRNAs have two regions of fundamental functional importance: the anti-codon, which is responsible for specific mRNA codon recognition, and the 3' end, to which the tRNAs corresponding amino acid is attached (by aminoacyl-tRNA synthetases). tRNAs cope with the degeneracy of the genetic code in two manners: having more than one tRNA (with a specific anti-codon) for a particular amino acid; and 'wobble' base-pairing, i.e. permitting non-standard base-pairing at the 3rd anti-codon position.
Source: RNAcentral